CAGCAGCCACGGUAAUACGAAGGGGGCUAGCGUUGUUCGGAAUUACUGGGCGUAAAGCGCACGUAGGCGGAUAUUUAAGUCAGGGGUGAAAUCCCAGAGCUCAACUCUGGAACUGCCUUUGAUACUGGGUAUCUUGAGUAUGGAAGAGGUGAGUGGAAUUCCGAGUGUAGAGGUGAAAUUCGUAGAUAUUCGGAGGAACACCAGUGGCGAAGGCGGCUCACUGGUCCAUUACUGACGCUGAGGUGCGAAAGCGUGGGGAGCAAACAGGAUUAGAUACCCCUGUAGUCCCUGUCUCUUAUAA
Molecule: ribosomal RNA, 301 nt
Filed under: uncultured bacterium
Lineage: Bacteria
Description: partial 16S ribosomal RNA
Rfam family: Bacterial small subunit ribosomal RNA
Source: RNAcentral